This is a long non-coding RNA of Sander lucioperca (pikeperch), 97 nucleotides long. RefSeq lists it as uncharacterized. The record is from RefSeq and is a predicted model, not a curated record. The transcript has 3 exons. NCBI's taxonomy places the organism in Eukaryota, Metazoa, Chordata, Actinopteri, Perciformes, Percidae.
UUUUUUUUAAAGCCAGCGCUCAACAGCUCGAUCGCGGCGCUUUAAGAUGACGUAGUAUUAAGAGCGAUAAUAGUAACGAGAAGUAUGAAAGACUGAA